RNAcentral lists this ribosomal RNA (494 nucleotides) under uncultured bacterium. RNAcentral describes it as "partial 16S ribosomal RNA". It matches the Rfam family "Bacterial small subunit ribosomal RNA", at positions 28 to 507 of the family's 1533-position model. The record is from RNAcentral.
GACGAACGCUGGCGGCGCGCUUAACACAUGCAAGUCGAACGGAAAGGCCUGCUUUCCCUUGUGGAUUGCGGGUACUCGAGUGGCGAACGGGUGAGUAACACGUGAGCGAUCUGCCCCCAACUUGGGUAUAAGCCUGGGAAACUGGGUCUAAUUCCCGAUAGGACUGCAGGGUGGUGCCUGUGGUGGAAAACGAUUUUCUAGUGGUUGGGGAUGAGCUCGCGGCCUAUCAGCUUGUUGGUGGGGUAAUGGCCUACCAAGGCGGCGACGGGUAGCCGGCCUGGGAGGGUGGACGGCCACAUUGGGACUGAGAUACGGCCCAGACUCCUACGGGAGGCAGCAGUGGGGAAUAUUGCACAAUGGGCGGAAGCCUGAUGCAGUGACGCCGCGUGGGGGAUGACGGCCUUCGGGUUGUAAACUCCUUUCGACCGCGAGGAAGCCACCUGGUUGGAAGGGUGGUGACGGUAGUGGUAGAAGAAACACCGGCUAACUACGUG